CUUCAACAGUUUAGAAGGUAACGUGUUUACGCUCAACGUGAUUUUUUUUAAUGUAAACGGAUUCACCACCUUCAAGUCGGCAGGAUGAAUUCCAUAGGUAAGGUGGUGUUGGGACUUUUGGGGCUUGCUGUCGUCAUCAUCUUGAUAGCAGUGCCCACAGCAAUAUAUCUGAACGCGGAAAAAGUGACGGCUCAGAGGACGUUCACGCUCAGUGACGUCUUCAAUAGUUCCAUCAGGGACAGAUCCUACAACAUGCGCUGGAUCUCAGGUAAAACACACUAGAAGCCUAAAUGAGUGGAUGGCUGUUAUGUUUAAUCCAGUCAGGAAUUGUGUGCCUGGAAUGUAUUACACAACGCUCUAACCCUGGAAGGAUGCACGUUUAGAUGUAAGCCAACAACACAAUGUUCCCUUUACAAAAUGAUAAGAAACAAUCCAAAAACAAUACUAGGCCUAUAUACUGUCUCUAUUUAAAUGGCACACUUUGGCUUUUUGUUAAAUCAUCAGUGCUAGGCAGAGACCUGAGUAGCAACAGUGCUGAUAUUUCAACUUAAACGUCAGUUAGUUCGUUAUUAUUAAACUCCUCUCUUCUUUCCCCUCCCCGAUAAACCAUGAGUAUCUGCAUAAUAAAGACGGCUCCAUCUUCCUUCACAACCUGAUUACAGGAAACAACUCAGAAUUCCUGAGCAGCAUCACAUUUGAUAAAGUGGCUGCCUAUGACUAUGUAGUGUCUGCUGAUCAAAAAUAUGUUGCUUUCAAGAGCAAUUGGACUAAGAUAUGGAGACACUCCUUCACAGCUUCCUAUUCUCUCUAUGAUUUGGCAGGCUCG
RNAcentral lists this long non-coding RNA (826 nucleotides) under Salmo salar (Atlantic salmon). RNAcentral describes it as "lncRNA (ENSSSAG00000108479.1)". The record is from RNAcentral. Lineage: Eukaryota; Metazoa; Chordata; Actinopteri; Salmoniformes; Salmonidae.